GAUGUACUACCUCCGUUCCAAAAUUCUUGUCUUAGAUUCAUCUAGAUAUGGAUGUAUCUAAUACUAAAACGUGACUUGAUACAUUCGUAUUUAGACAAAUAUAAGACAAGAAUUUUUGGACGGAGGGAGUAUACU
Non-coding RNA from Triticum aestivum (bread wheat), 135 nucleotides. Lineage: Eukaryota; Viridiplantae; Streptophyta; Magnoliopsida; Poales; Poaceae. The record is from Rfam.